NNUUUAAAUAUGACUUCGUUGAUGGUGUCAUUUACCGCAUGGACAAUCGAGUUGUGGUGGCCAAGCCUUCAUAGCGAUGUUGCUUUUUGAUUCCUUGAUGUUGGCCCUUCCAAUCACUGGAAAGCAGAAUUUAUUAGGCGUUAGAUUGUUCACCGAGUAAUGGGGAACGUGAGUCGGGUUACAUCAGUCAGCAAAGUGAAAUCUACCCAUUGUUAUGGUAAGUCUGUUUAUUACUAGUAGAAAUGCAGGUUUUGACAGCUGAUUGGCUUACGUGUCCGGUCGAAAGGUCAAUGUGGCGAAGCUGCUAUCUGAGGGAUUAUCACUGAAUGCCUCUGUAAGUCUGAAUCUCACCCAAUUUUGCAAGGGUACUUUCCGUAUCUGACACAUGACUGGCCAAGCUU
RNAcentral lists this non-coding RNA (401 nucleotides) under Trichobilharzia regenti. Its description in RNAcentral is "Eukaryotic large subunit ribosomal RNA". It matches the Rfam family "Eukaryotic large subunit ribosomal RNA", at positions 2779 to 3401 of the family's 3401-position model. The record is from Rfam by way of RNAcentral. Lineage: Eukaryota; Metazoa; Platyhelminthes; Trematoda; Strigeidida; Schistosomatidae.